Long non-coding RNA from Monodelphis domestica (gray short-tailed opossum), 461 nucleotides. RefSeq lists it as uncharacterized. Lineage: Eukaryota; Metazoa; Chordata; Mammalia; Didelphimorphia; Didelphidae. The record is from RefSeq and is a predicted model, not a curated record.
UGUGAAAUGGGAAGUAACAACUAUCUGCUCUAGCUCAUCAAAUUUCAUUUGCAGCCAAGGGGAGACCUCUCAGGAAAAGAAUCCAAGAAUAUCUUCAUUGACUAUCCAGUCAAAAUAAAAACCACACUGUGGCAACAAUAACAGUCCUUAGAGAAUAGUCCGACUCUCCACACCCUGUAUGCCAGAGGCCACCAAAGACCUUGCCAAGGAUUGGAAGAGACUGGAAUUCCCAGGAAGAGAUGGAUUGAAGAACAACUGGAGGUAGACUCUGGAAGGGGGACCCCUAGGGCCACUACAGAUGCCCUAACCUCCUUCAGGCCCAAGGUUGUCCAACAAGAGAAUGGGCUGCUUGCUUCUUGAGUAAAUUACGACAUUCUCAUUAUGACCUCAUUAUACAGUAUCUAUAGAAGCUAUCCAUGCUUUAAGAAGUGAUUGAACUAGAUGAUAUUUGAGGGCCACAA